Molecule: ribosomal RNA, 738 nt
Filed under: uncultured bacterium
Lineage: Bacteria
Description: bacterial SSU rRNA
Rfam family: Bacterial small subunit ribosomal RNA
Source: RNAcentral
GAACGCUGGCGGCGUGCUUAACACAUGCAAGUCGAGUGCGCGUUUCCGUAGCAAUACGGAAAUGGCGCACGGCGCACGGGUGCGUAACGCGUGGGUAAUCUGCCCUCUGAUGGGGAAUAACUCGCCGAAAGGCGAGCUAAUUCCGCAUAACAUUCCUUGGACUCCGGUUCGAGGAUUCAAAGGCGUAAGUCGUCGGAGGUGGAGCCCGCGCACGAUUAGCUAGUUGGUGAGGUAAUGGCUCACCAAGGCUUUGAUCGUUAGCUGGUCUGAGAGGAUGGCCAGCCACACUGGAACUGAGACACGGUCCAGACUCCUACGGGAGGCAGCAGUGGGGAAUCUUGCACAAUGGGCGAAAGCCUGAUGCAGCGACGCCGCGUGGGGGAUGAAGCUUCUCGGAGUGUAAACCCCUUUCGACCGGGACGAAUACCUCGCAAGAGGGGUGACGGUACCGGUAUAAGAAGCCCCGGCUAACUACGUGCCAGCAGCCGCGGUAAGACGUAGGGGGCCAGCGUUGCUCGGAAUUACUGGGUGUAAAGGGUUCGUAGGCGGUGUGGCAAGUCGGGAGUGAAAUCUCUGAGCUUAACUCAGGGGCUGCUUCCGAAACUGCUGUGCUAGAGUGUGGGAGAGGCGCGUGGAAUUGCAGGUGUAGCGGUGAAAUGCGUAGAUAUCUGCAGGAACACCCGUGGCGAAAGCGGCGCGCUGGACCACUACUGACGCUGAGGAACGAAAGCUAGGGGA